GGUCAAGAAGAGAAGCGCAAACGGUGGAUGCCUUGGCAGUAAGAGGCGAAGAAGGACGUGGAAUCCUGCGAAAAGCUAUGGGGAGCUGGAAACGAGCGUUGAGCCAUAGAUGUCCGAAUGGGGGAACCCGGCUGCAGCGAUGCGGUCAUUUGCAUUUGAAUACAUAGGAUGCAAAGGCGAACUCGGGGAACUGAAACAUCUAAGUACCCGAAGGAAAAGAAAUCAAGAGAGAUUCUCCAAGUAGCGGCGAGCGAACGGGGAGGAGCCUGGCGUGAUUUAUUAUUGAACUGAGUAGAACAAUUUGGGAAAGUUGGCCGAAGAGGGUGAAAGCCCCGUAUACGAAGGUUUGAUGAGGAACUAGGCACGCGAACAAGUAGG
Molecule: ribosomal RNA, 378 nt
Filed under: Legionella pneumophila
Lineage: Bacteria; Pseudomonadati; Pseudomonadota; Gammaproteobacteria; Legionellales; Legionellaceae
Description: partial 23S ribosomal RNA
Rfam family: Bacterial large subunit ribosomal RNA
Source: RNAcentral